This 244-nucleotide ribosomal RNA is filed under the name uncultured bacterium. RNAcentral describes it as "partial 16S ribosomal RNA". It matches the Rfam family "Bacterial small subunit ribosomal RNA", at positions 1248 to 1500 of the family's 1533-position model. The record is from RNAcentral.
AGCUACACAGCGAUGUGAUGCUAAUCUCCAAACCAUGUCUCAGUUCGGAUCGGAGUCUGCAACUCGACUCCGUGAAGCUGGAUUCGCUAGUAAUCGCGCAUCGGCCAUGGCGCGGUGAAUACGUUCCCGGGCCUUGUACACACCGCCCGUCAAGCCAUGGGAGCCGGGGGUACCUGAAGUCCGUAACCGCGAGGAUCGGCCUAGGGUAAAACUGGUGACUGGGGCUAAGUCGUAACAAGGUAGC